UAUCUGACUACCUUAAUUCCUUCACAGAUUCUUAGGAAGAUCUGUUGGUACUUGGUGCUAGCACCUCAUGAUCCUAUGCAAUCGAGCCUUCUCAAUGCUACACUAGAGGAUAAAAACCUUUCAGAAAUCCCAAAUUUCAGGUUAUUGCUGAAGCAGCUGGUUACCAUGGAGGUCAUCUAGUGGACAGCAUUGUGGGAAUUCUCUAAGCACGAAUUUGAAAACGAGAAGAAUCUGCUAGGAGGAGCUUUGGGUGCCAAAGCUGCAGAAGAUUUGAAGCUGAGAAUAAUUGAACAUGUACUGCUUACUUUGUGUAUGGCCUAUAGUUGUAGUUAUUUUGCUUUAUGCUUGUCCACUAAAUCUGACUUUUUGCUCUGCUCCGAAUAUCUUGGUUGUGUCUAAGUACUAUUCGAGGGUUACCAUAAAGAGGCUUGCUGAUCUGCUCUGCCUGAGUUUGCAGGAGGCAGAGAAGCAUCUUUCAGACAUGGUGAACU
Long non-coding RNA from Zea mays, 491 nucleotides. RefSeq lists it as uncharacterized. The record is from RefSeq and is a predicted model, not a curated record. The transcript has 3 exons. NCBI's taxonomy places the organism in Eukaryota, Viridiplantae, Streptophyta, Magnoliopsida, Poales, Poaceae.